Molecule: long non-coding RNA, 4494 nt
Filed under: Sus scrofa (pig)
Lineage: Eukaryota; Metazoa; Chordata; Mammalia; Artiodactyla; Suidae
Description: lncRNA (ENSSSCG00065044394.1)
Source: RNAcentral
UUUUUUUUUUUUUUUUUUUUUUUUUUGGCUUUUUGCCUUUUUGCCUUUUCUAGGGCUGCUUCCCAAGGCAUGUGGAGGUUCUCAGGCUAGGAGUCUAAUUGGAGCUGUUGCAGACACGGCUCAGAUCCAGCGUGGCUGUAGCUAUGGCAUAGGCCAGCAGCUGUAGCUCUGAUUCGACCCCUAUCCUGGGAACCUCCAUAAGCCACAAGGGCAGCCCUAAAAAGACAAAAAAUAAAAAUAAAACCAGAAAAUUAUCAUUUAGUAUGAAAAAAAUUGAGACAUUUCGUGUUCAAAAACUACCUAAGAUCCAGGUCAACCACAGCUUCUCAGGUGGAAGGUGUCAGAGGACAGUCAAAGACAAUCACAAAACUAAAGGAAGCAGGUGCAAUUUUAGGCCAAAUCGUGUCAUCCUAGAUUCCUGAGUAUUGACAUAUUGACAUUUUUGUUUUUCAAAACAAAAGCUAGAUUAAAUCAGUGACAAUCAAUGUUAAAAGAAAUCAAAGCCAAACAUAUAUCUGCCUCACCUACAAUACUGGCCCAAACAUUUAGCCUCAUUUUAGGGCUGUAUGAGUACUUUUCAAAACAGGAUCAGGUCUCUCAGCCACUCUAGGUGGUACACAUUUUUGAAAUAGUUUAUUUCACCAGCUUGCUGUGGCCCGUGGUUCUGUGUAAGAAUACGCAUUGAAAGAACUGAAGGAGAUCCUUGAUGACACUUUAUGCUCCCGGAGAGCAGAUGAUGAUCACCUGACAGAAAUGGAUAACGAUGCCUCAUGUUGGUUGAUCCCUACAGUGGGUAACGGACGGAGGUUGUUCAUUAAGAUCUCAAAGCCUGCAAGUCCAGCAUUUUAACCUAUCAUCACAAGUCGGCCUCUGCCUUCCCACCCUCACGUUGUUGCUGAGUCUGCUACAGGAAUUUGGAACAUGUUGCUCAGGUGAUUGAUGUUUAUAAACAUGCCCUGAGAGUCAAGUUCUGUCAGGUGUUGGAGGUACAAUGAUUUGGUCCAUCAUCCAGGCCACCUCAGAUUGCAGGGCAGAGACAGACAAUGCAGUGCUUUGUAACUGAUGUGCUUGCCUUUCGCAAUAGAGGUAGAACAGUCUCCUACUCUCGCUGAUGGAUGGUAGGGUUUGUGGGGGCUCAGAAUGGUCCCAGGCUUUCCUCCUUCUCUCUCUUCACACCCCGCCCUCACCCUGUUCCCGCCCCCGUGGCUUCUGUGCUGCUCCCAGUGGUUCACCUGUGAGAAUUCAGCAUCUUGCUAAGUUCCACAUUUACAGUGUUUUCAUUCCACAGAAUUCCUGCUGUGGCUCAGCGAGUUAAGAGCCCAAAGUUGUCUCUCUGAGAAUUCAGGUUCGAUCCCCAGCCUUGCUCAGUGGGUUCAGGGUCCAGCAUUGCCAUGAGCUGUGCUGUGGCGUAGGUCACAGACGCAGCUCUGAUCCCAUGUUGCUGUGACUGUGGUGUAGGCCGGCAGCUGGAGCUUUGAUUCAGCCCCUAGCCUGGGAGCUUCCAUAUGCUGCAAGUGUGGCCCUAAAAAAAAAAAUAAAUAAAAAAGUUUUUCAUUCCUGAGCCUAAUUAUCUUCACAGAAGAGGUGUGAAGGCAAAGAAAUGAGAGGUCACGGAGUCUCCACAAUAUACGUGAGCUAAGAGGACAGAUCUCUGGGGAUGAAAUGUCACCUUGAGACACCUGUGUCCACCAGUCACUGUCCAUGCCUAGGACCCCCCGAGGCCUGCCUGGUCCAGGCCUCUCCCCACCUUGCUCUCACGUCUUCUCCCUCCACUUCUCACCCCUCCUGCUCUCCUAGGAAGCAGAAGAUGCUCCAGAUUAUCUUUCAUCUAAUAGAUAGCAUAGCAUUCAUGCUCCCUGAGGGUUUGGCACCAUCUUUAUUUCUUAACUGAAGAACAGUUGAUUUACAAUAUUGCACUGGUUUCAGGUGUAAGCAGAGUGAUUCAGUUAUACACAUGUAUUUAUCUGUUCUCUUUCAGAUUCUUUUCCAUUAUAGGUUAUUACAAGAUAUCAAGUAUAGUUCCCUGUGCUAUACAGUAGGUCCUUGUUAUUUAAUCUGUUUUAUAUAUAGUGUGUGUAUCUGUUAAUCCCAAAUUCCUAAUUUAUCCUUCCCCCCCUCCCCGUCCCCUUAGUUAACCAGGAGUUUGUUUUCAGAGUCUGUGGGUCUCUUUCUGUUUUGUAAAUAAGUUCAUUUGUUUCCUAUUUCGGAUCCCACAUAUAAGUGAUAUCGUAUGAUUUUUAUCUUUCCCUGACUUACUUCACUUAGUAUGAUGCUCCCUAGGUCCAUCCAUGUUGCUGCAAAUGGCAUUAUUUUGUUCUUUUUAUGGCUGAGAAGCAUGCUGUGGUGUAUAUGUACCACAUUUUCUUUAUCCGUUCCUCUGUCCAUCAACAUUUAGGUUGUUUCCGUGUCUUGGCUUUUGUAAACAGUGCUGCAAUUAACAGCGAGGUGCAUGUAUCUUUUAAAAUUAGAGUUUUUGUCUUUUCUGGAUAACUGACACCUAGGUAGUUCCAACUGAGAAUUCUCUCCCUAAAAUAAAUUGCUGUAUAAACUAUAAAUUCCAUUUUAAAGUAUUCUCCCUCUUAUCACAUGCCCCUAACUCAAGGCAUGAAUAAAAAGGAAAAUAAUAUCUUUUAUUAGUAGUAACUUCUUACAGAAAUGAGACUUAUUGACUUUAUAUACAUAUAUAUUAAUAGGUAUAAUUGGGGGCUAUGUGAUGACUUUUUUUCUUGUCUACUAUAUGUUUUUCUGAUAUAGGUUAGAAUAUUUGGUAAAAGGCUGUUUGAGAGUAACAAGCCACAUUGCUUACAAAUGCUAGAGGUAAUUUUUAAGCCAAUAGUGAUGAAUCUAAAAUGGAUGAUCAGGCCCAGGACCUUAUGCUUAUUUUGCUUGAAUAAAGUCACAGGGACCAAAGGCUGCCCCAGGUCUCUGGAGAGAACAUCCCAGAUGUGGGUGUCAGUCCCCCCAGAGCAGAGCAGUGAUCAAGCACCCGUGUACUGAUGUGGAACAGAGUUGCAGAGUCAGUGACGACUGGGUGUAAGUCUGGGUGAUGACCUACUUUCUGGCUCAGUCCCAAUGAACCUGGCCUACGACACUCGGGAUGUGAAGGUUAGACAUGACCCACAGAGCCCGGCCACCCUUUAGGUGUCUCACCCAAAAUCGUGAGCGCUGAUCGAAGUUCCUCCCUCAACCUGGUGCUGAUGCAGUGCAGAUACCAGACAGAUACAGAUGCUCUCUGCAGAGACAAGGUGUUGGCUACCAGGACAACAGACAUAGCUGCAUACCUGAGGGCAUGAACAGAACACUUACGCUGUCCCUGGAAAUCCUUUCCUGCCUUGACAUUCUGACAGGGGGUAAGGUGGCUGACAGGGGACACAUCCCAUCCGUGGGUCCUACUCUGAUUGCAAAGAACCCACAGGGAAAUGAGAGCAGAGAGAACACAGCACGUUGUUGGUACCAGCCAUCCUAGGUCUUAAUUCACUAAUAUGAUCUAAGUACCAAGAGCCGCCAUGUCUCAUGGGAAAAUAAAGAGCAUGGAAAACUCUGCUUCUCGCUGCUCAUCAAGAUGAACAAACAGGAUUGGUCCCAUGAAGCAGCCGAGGUAGCUUAAGAAAAAGUUUAAGGAUUGUUUGUUUGUUUGUUUUACUCUUAGUUAACCAUGAAAUACAGCCUUGAUAAAAUUCAAGGCAUUGUUGGGGGGAGAAAAACAAGCCAUAGUAAAAUUUAAAAUAGAGUUAUGAAAAUAAAAAUUUCCGUGGGUAGUCUGAGUAAUUAAAGGAGAGGGCUCAUUAGCUCAUAAAGAAGGAAAAGUUAUGACGUUUCCAAGAAAGUAGAAGAGAAAAAGAGAUGAAAAUUAUGGGCCAAAGGCUGGACUGGAGGGAGGGUCAUGGUCCGUCCAGCAGGAGUCCAGGAGGUGGCCGAGCAGAGGGAGGGAAGGGCAACAUUGAGAGGAAGAGGAGAAGAAACUUAGUCUUUGCUGAAGAAAUGCAGGCGUCUUCCGACAGAACGUGGGCAGAAUAAAUGUUAAAAGAUGUCUAGAGCCCUUGAGGAAAUCUUGAAGAGAAAAGUUUAAAAGCUUCUAAAGAAUACAUUACCAAAAGGGAGAAUCAGGCUGACACCCAGCAUUUCAAUGGAAGAUCUGAGCCCUGAGGGCAGCCAUAUUUCUGUGUAUGGUUUUAGAAGGGAGUCUGGAAGAACAUUUGUCAGACCUUUGGGAGCUCAGGCAGCAGAGACAGGACUCACUUUUUCCUUUCCUCCCUGCUGCUGUUUUAAUUUUCACAUUAUUCUUUUAUUACUUUUUAAUUAAAUUAUUUUCAAAGGAAACAUUAACUUUGGCAGCAGUGAAUAGAAUUAAUUGCUGGAGAAAGAGACUCGAGGCUGUUAAAUCAAUUAGAAGGUUAUCUUAAGAAUUGCCAGCAAAGCUGAGGGAGAAAAAAGCUACAGCGGUAGAAAGCAGAGGCCAGAUUCAGGGAACAUUUGGAAGAUAUUUGAUGAUUU